Molecule: transfer RNA, 97 nt
Filed under: Rhizocola hellebori
Lineage: Bacteria; Bacillati; Actinomycetota; Actinomycetes; Micromonosporales; Micromonosporaceae
Description: tRNA-Tyr
Source: RNAcentral
AGACCUCGUCGACGCCGAGGUACGUCGCCACUUUGUAGCGGUGGCGGCGGUAGGGAGUACGGCCGGCGAUCCAGCGUUCGACGCUCUUCGGGUCAAC